CGCCUUCCAUGAAGCCGGAAUUGCUAGUAAUGGCAGGUCAGCAUACUGCCGUGAAUACGUUCCCGGGCCUUGUACACACCGCCCGUCACACCAUGAGAGUUGGGGAUACCCGAAGCCUGUGAGCUAACUUUUAGAGGCAGCAGUCGAAGGUAGAAUCAAUGAUUGGGGUGAAGUCGUAACAAGGUAGC
This 188-nucleotide ribosomal RNA is filed under the name uncultured bacterium. RNAcentral's name for it is "partial 16S ribosomal RNA". It matches the Rfam family "Bacterial small subunit ribosomal RNA", at positions 1313 to 1500 of the family's 1533-position model. The record is from RNAcentral.